GCUCAACUAUCACCUGCCCGGCUCUACAUAACCGCGGAGCAGAGCCCGUUCCUCCCUGCUCCACCUUCGUGACCCCGCGUGAGUGAUCCAGCGCCGCCGUGAGCAGUUGGCAUCAGCUAAUCCUGGAGGAGCGGCUGCUCGGAAAUCGUCACGGGAGUGCUAGGUCUUGAGGCCGCAGCCGGGUCACCACUCGACGGUGGCGGUCAGCGCAACGCGCUAAAAUCCAGUGAGUCCAUCCUUCCCUCUGCGGUACCCUUGGAUUCAUCGGUUGUCGUGGGCGAUUGGGGAUGACGAGGUAGGGAGCGGGCUCGAAGCCGGUGAGCUGGCGGUGAACUCUUGGUGGGGUCGGUGGCGAGCGUUGGCGCGCGGUCGGCUCAGUGCCCUGGCGUCGCGCUGGGGAAGAUGGCUAGCUAACUGUUGAUUUGUGAACCAGCGGGCAGGAUCGGGUGAGCACACUGAGGCCUAGUUUGGUGGACCCGGAAAUAGAGGGGAUUCAUGCGGAGGGGAUCUCCUUCUAUUCAAUUUUGAAUAACAAGUGGAUUCCUCUUGUGACACCCCAGUGUCACCUAGGGUUUCUCCUAGAAAUCCAAACCAAGAACCAUUAUUUCAUGUAAAUCAAAGUAAGCAUGAGCAUCAAAUUAACUUGAGUAAUAAAGAAUUCACCAAGUAUAUGCUUAAAAGUGUCAUAAUCAAAACAAUUGAGACUUUUGAAAGAUAAGAAUGUGCAACCCUAAUUAAGAACCCUAAGUGAGCCCCAUGAACAAAAUUCAAGAAAAUGAGGAAAAGGGAAUGAAAAAUUUAAAAUUUUGAGUUGAGCCAAUUAUACAAGUUAAAGUAUAUUUAUUAAGCAACAAGAAAGAUUGAGAAAGCUUAGCCAAAAUAAUUCAAAUAAAACCCCAAAUCAAGCUUCUCAUGUAGGGACUCAUUGGGAAUUCUGAAUUUCAGAAUUCUGAAAUUCAGACCUUGAGCCAAAGAUCAGGGAUGUUCACCUUGAUCCCUAACUCGAAUCCUAAUGGCCCCAUUGACAAAAUUUUGUCUAACUAACCCCUCUGUCGUAUGCCAGAAGAUGGCAUUGGGACGCGAGCCCUAGACACGACAAAACCUGGGAUUUGCCUCGGGUUUGGGCAGGGAGACAAACCAGAUUUCCUGGCUCCAUAUCUCUGCAACCAGUAGGCAAAAUCCUAUGACCCCCACGCAAGAAAGGUAGCUUGUAGGGAGGAGAAGAGGUUUUGUGCACUGACCAAGGCGAGAGCAGGCUCGGAUGAGCGACCACACGCGCCAGAACUUGGGCAGAACGCACGGGCACACGUGUUCGACCCUGGUCGGCACGCCAGAGCUCGCCCAACCCGCGCGCGCGCUCACCCCGGCGUCCGGUCAAGUCCGCCGCGCGCCCAUGCCCUCGGUCGUGCUCGCCCGCGCCUAUAAAGCCUCCCCGGGCGCACCUCUCUUCGCCCCGCACUCACCCUCACCGGCCAGCCACCUUUCCUUAGCUCCGGCGAGCUUAAUUCCGCCCGCCAUUGCCGCCAGAGCUUCGGCCGCCGGGGCCAGCCCACUCCAGCCACCCUCAAGCCCAGCCAGUGCUUCGGCUAGCUCCGCCAGUAGCCCGUUAAGCUUGCCAAGCCCUCGGACCCAACCGGACUUCACCGGAGGCCCGAGAUCGACCUCACCGGACUUCGGUCUUCCGCCGCCGCGCGUGGACCAAGCCAUCCAGUGAGUCUCCGCCCGAUUCCUUUCGCUCAUAUCUUCUCUGGCAUCCCGUGGACCUCCCUGACCUGUUUGAUUGAACUAUCUCGCCGUGACCAGGCCGGUCUCCUCGCCGCCGACGAGCAUCCCCGCCUGCGCGCGUGGACCGACCGACUCCGGCCAUCUCCGACGGCGUUCCGCACACCGUUGUGAUCCCCGCGACCUCCCCUUCAUCCUCGACCACUUCACCGGAGCAGUCUCGCCGCCGGUAAGCCCCUCCGCCCUUUUCUUCGUCGCGGCUACUGUUUAAGGUAGAAGAAGGACCUCGGGUUAGGUUCUGUAGAACCCGAGGGGUUUUCUGUAAUGUCAGCGACUCAUGUGAAUAGUAACCUAAGGACUGAUUCGCGAGGAAAACUUAGAAAACCGCCAGGGACCCCAGUGCAAAGUGGAUUUCCAUUUAAUCAAUUCUGUUAUUCUUUUUAAAAUGACCAGAGAACUUAGAAAAUCCAUAACUUGAUGAAAUCUUAAUAAAAAGUUGUCAAACCAAUUUUGCUAGCUCUGGAAUAUUAUGAUCUAUCAUUUAAAAAUAGUAAACCCUAUGCUUCCUGUUCUAAAUUUUUAAGUUUAAAUUUAAAAACAGAAACCCCCUAAACCUUGUUUAAUUAAGGAAAAUUAGUUUUUCUUUUGUGCUGAGCUCAAGAAAAUUUGUAGAUGUUUAAACCUUAUUUAGACACUGUUUAAAAAUAGUAGGAACCCCAGCAUUGGAAAAUAUGAUGUAGUUUUUCAUUUAAAGCUAUUUUGUCCAAAACUUAGAGAAAAUCAGAAAGGCCUUAGAAAUUAAUGAACAGUGAUUAAUAAUAUUUUUCCUAGUUUACUUAUGCAACAGAGAACCUAGGAAAAAUACAGAGACCAUUAAUUUGGACCAGUUUUAAAUUAAGAUGAUUUGUUUAGCCUCAUAUAGACUGAAAAUCAAUUAUUAGAGUUACAAAACUAUAACCAAAAUGAUUAAUAAAAAUCUAGUGGACUUAUAACCACCAGAGCCCCACUACAAAAAUACAGAGCACCUCAACCCAACUCUUUAAGUAAGGAAAUUAAAUGCAAAGUGAUAAUAAGGCAUUUUCCAACUAAAUCAUGAACAACCCUAAAUAAUGUGAUAAUGGGCAACCAAAAAUCAGCUAAGUCCAUGAUGAGACAAGCCACCAGAGAAAAAUGCAAACCCAUGAAAAGGAAGUAAACCCAUACCUUUUGUUAGUAAAUUAUGAGAAAGGCCACUUAAUUCAAAUAAUGCAAACCACCCCUUCCCUUAAGCAAAAAGAAGCCAAACUUCAAAAUGAUUGCUCUUGCACAAAAUACUAACUAAAAAAAAUAAGAACUCUGUUGUUUGAUGUUUUUCAAAUAUAGUGGUAGUAGAAAGCACCUAUUUGGCUAGAAACCUUAAGAAAACCAUAGGAAAAGAAUUAAAAGAUAUUAAUGGCUAGAAAUUUGUGUUAAGUCAUGUUAUAACACCUAAAAGCCAGCAAAAAUAAGUUUUAGAGAAUUACCCACUGUUAAAUAAUAGUUGUAGUUCAAAGUACCCCUUCUGCCCUAGAAUUUGGUAAUUUUGUCCAGAGAAAACUAUUCACCUUCUGAUUCCCAAAUUUUGAGACAGAGCAACACACACCAUUAACAGGCCACUGUAAUUUUUGCAGAAUUUUUGGAAUUUUAUAAAAGCAACUUGUAGUUCAAACCUACUCCAAAACAUUAAAGGAAUAAAAGAAAAGGAAAGAAGAAAUAAACCCCACCUCAAUAAGUCUAACUUGAGAACUUAUCAUUUAUCACUAAGACUUAAAAGGAAUUCAGUAGAAUCCCAAAAUCUAACCUACCCCUUUCCUUAGCUAAGUUUAACCCAAUUUACCCAGUAUACCACUAAGGGUUUUACAUAAGUAAAGUUAACUUGUUUUAACUUAAAAGAUCAUACACCUUUAAAGUUGUAAUUUCUAAAAGCACAUAUCAUAUCAUGCAUAUAUCUUACGCAUUGCAUUCAUUAGAUUGCAAUCUUGCCGACGGAGAGUACGUGCUCAUCCCCGAGCAAGGACCUGUCCAAGAGGAGGACCAGGAGCAGGCUUUAGAGGCUGCUAUUGAGGAUCUCCCCGCAGCCCCAGCAAUUGAAGGCAAGCCCCGGUUUUAUGCAUAACCAUGUUAUUAUAUGCUACUUUACUACACUUAUUGCUUGUAGGAUUGCAAUGUGCACUUAAGUGUAGGAGUUGCUUGAAACCUCUAGUUGCAUGAACUUAGGAUUCCUUUUUGAGAUGAAUACUAGUAUGCUAGGUCGAGUAGCUGCUUGCUAAUCAGGAUCUCGGUAGAAGUCGAGUGAUUUUUCUAGCACUCGCGCGAGGUCAGGAAUUGAUUGUAUUCAUCUUGAUAACGGGAUUUAUGUUGGUCUAUGGACUUGGAUCUAGGGAGGAUGCCUUGUCCAUGAGACGGGAAAAAUGAAUUAAGGAUUAAUGUGUGGAUACCUGAGUCAAGCUUUUGAACGUACUAAGCACAUGCCGGGAAAAAUGGUAACCGGUAAACCUAGUACCUGAGUGAAGCCGGGCGCGGACUUUAUCCCUCAUGCGACCUGAGACUGGGUCUCCCAUGCUAGCUAUGGUGGGUACAAGUGCGGUCACUGCACGGCGGCAGCCGGGGUCAGUGGAGCAUUGUAUGCCAAGGCGGUGAGGCCUGGACGCGAACGGGGAAUCGAUGGGGACGGUUGUCAUGUGUGGGGUCAGAGUACCCUGACAUGCCGUGUGUUUAGGUUUACCUUGCAAGGUUUAAAACUCGAUUCGAAUCGUCUGCUUCUCGCAGCUAAUGAGACUGCUUGAUUCCUUGUACUGCAUCGAGUAAGAAGUGAAAUGUGGUUAUAUGAGAUAACUUGUUGGUUGAACUAAUUGAUUGUUACCAUGUAUGCUUAGAAGGAGCAAAUCUAGCUAAGUUAAUGAUGGUAGAAUUUGAAAAGCUAAAAAUUGAUUUUAGAAACAGCUAGUGCUUUUGGCAAACCAAACCCCUCAGCCAAACAGCUGCAUAGUCUAGAGGUAGAGGAGUAGACUCCUCACACCGGUUAAGUCUAGCUGAGUAUUAGUAUACUCAGCCUUGCUUGUGGCACCAUUUUUGCAGGUACCAUUCAGGAAAUGGUUGAUGGUGUGACUUGGCCUACCACCCUGCCACCGGGUUGGACGGUCGAGUGGGAUGUUGCUCCGGCAGGAGAGGAGCAUGAGGAGUAGUGGGCUAGGCCUUGCCCAUUUCCUCAUUACCGACGAC
Molecule: long non-coding RNA, 4962 nt
Filed under: Zea mays
Lineage: Eukaryota; Viridiplantae; Streptophyta; Magnoliopsida; Poales; Poaceae
Description: long non-coding RNA (ZMAY_LNC004242)
Source: RNAcentral